UGUCUCAAUGGUAAAGAAUCUGCUUGCAGUGCAGGAGAUCCGGGUUCAACUCCUGG
This 56-nucleotide transfer RNA is filed under the name Bos taurus (domestic cattle). It matches the Rfam family "tRNA", at positions 8 to 63 of the family's 71-position model. From Rfam's summary of the family: Transfer RNA (tRNA) molecules are approximately 80 nucleotides in length. Their secondary structure includes four short double-helical elements and three loops (D, anti-codon, and T loops). Further hydrogen bonds mediate the characteristic L-shaped molecular structure. tRNAs have two regions of fundamental functional importance: the anti-codon, which is responsible for specific mRNA codon recognition, and the 3' end, to which the tRNAs corresponding amino acid is attached (by aminoacyl-tRNA synthetases). tRNAs cope with the degeneracy of the genetic code in two manners: having more than one tRNA (with a specific anti-codon) for a particular amino acid; and 'wobble' base-pairing, i.e. permitting non-standard base-pairing at the 3rd anti-codon position. RNAcentral also lists the same sequence under 2 other names. The record is from Rfam by way of RNAcentral. Lineage: Eukaryota; Metazoa; Chordata; Mammalia; Artiodactyla; Bovidae.